Molecule: long non-coding RNA, 3446 nt
Organism: Symphalangus syndactylus (siamang)
Lineage: Eukaryota; Metazoa; Chordata; Mammalia; Primates; Hylobatidae
Source: RefSeq, a predicted model, not a curated record
CCGCAAGGCGGCCUGGGACUUGUAGUCCCUCUCCUGGCCCCGGCUCUCCUGGGCGAGGAGCAUUGGGAAGAGGCUUCCGCGGCAGCCUGCGGCCCCCGCCCAGCCGAAGAGGCCUGGAGGAGAGGAGAUUCGCUUUUGAGAACGUUCAUUGAGCGCCGAAGUGAAGGCCACGGCAUUGAGAGACUUGAUCGUUGGUUUAGGUGUACUCAGGAGACCAACAACGAUACCUUCUCUUUGUUUGACCCCUCCUGUGUCACAUGUGUGAUCACAGAAGAGACCAUGUUUUUGGAAGAGAAACAGAAUUGGCUUUCCAUUGAGGCAAAUGAGGGGGCUGCCCCAUGGUGGAGACACACAGGAGGGUGGGAGAGGGACUCUAUCUUUCAUUGGAAUAGUCUGCCCUGUGCUAGGUGGAGCUGGAAGAUAUAGCUCACUUGCUUGUAAGGAACUUGAAGGCUGUGUGGGAGACAAAUGUAUAAACAGAAAAUUACAGUUCACCAUCUUAUGUUCCAGAGGAAAGAAGCACUUAGUAUGAGGUACCAGGAAGAGGUGGGGAGAAGGGAGUGGCUUUACAUCCUUAAGCUCUGGGUGUUUGAAGAGCAGCCUUAGACACUAGCCAUGGAGGUGGGCUUGGGUAGGCCCCGCCACGGGGUUUGAAGACCCAAAAGAUGUUGGGUCAAGGAGGACAUGGGUGUCUAGUGUAGGAGCAAGCAGAAGGGUGAGCUCACUGAAGCACUGUUUUACCCACUGUACUACGUUUCUAUUGCUGCUAAAACAAAUUGCCACAAACUUAGUGGCUUAAAACAAGUGCGUUAUCUUCCAGUUCUGGAGGGCAGGAGUCUUAACUCAGGUCUCCCUGGGCUAGAAUCGAGGUGUCAGCAGGACUGGGUUCCUUUCUGGAGGCUUUGGGGGAGCAUCCAUUUCCUCGCCUUGCCCAGCUUCUAGAGGCCACCAGCAUUCCCAAGUUCAUGGCUCCCUUCUGCCUUCAAAGCCAACAACAGUGCAUCAGUCACUCUCACAUUGUAUCACUUUGACCUCAUCCUUUAUUUUUUUGAGACAGGAUCUUGCUCUGUUGCCCAGGCUGAAGUGCAGUGACAUGAUUAUGGCUCACUGCACCCUUGACCUCCAGGGCUCAAAUGAUCCUUCCAUCUCAGCCUCCCAAGUAGCUGGGACUACAGGCAUGUAGUACCAUGCUCGGCUAAUUUUUCUAUUUUUUGUAAAGAUGGGGUCUUGCUGUUGUCCAGGUUGGUCUCCAACUCCUGUGCUCAAGUGAUCCUCCUGCCUUGGCCUCCCAAAAUGCUGGGAUUACAGACAUGAGCCACCACAGCCUGCCCACUCUGACCCGUUCUGCCUCCUACUUCCACUCUCACAAAUGUUUGUGAUGACAUUGGACCCACCUGGAUAAACCAGGACACUCUCCCUAUUUUAAGGUCAGCAGAUUAGCUUCCUGAAUUCCAUCGGCAACUUUUUCCUUUUUCUUUUUUUUUUUUUGAGACAGGGUUUCACUCUGUUGCCCAGGCUGGAGAGCAGUGGAGCAAUCAUGGCUCACUGCAGCCUUAACAACAACUGGGCUCAAGUGAUCCUCCUGCUUCAGCCGCCUGAGUAGCUGGGACUACAGGCACAUGCCACAACGCCCUUCAAAUUUUAUUUUUUGUAGAGAUAGUGUUUCCCUAUGUUGCUCAGGGAAGUCUUGAACUUCUGGGCUCAAGCGAUCCUCCUGCUUUGGCCUCCAAAAGUGCUGGGAUUACAGGCGUGAGCCACCGCGCCUGGCCCACAGGCAGCCUUAAUUCCCUUUUGCCAUGUAACCCACAUAUUCACAGCUUCUGGGGAUUGUGACGUGGACAUUGGGGGAGGCACUGUUCUGCCUCCCACGCCCACUUUACCUUCAGGGUGAGGUCUCGGCCUGGCCUAUCCUUUCACAGUAUCUACGUGUAAUCAUGGGGAAAAGCCUUUAAAAAUUAGGCAAGGGAAUUAAAAUCAUCACGAUAAGUAAAAUCAGGCAAGGAACUUGCUGGAGGAGAACAGAGAUAGAAUAAGGCAGAAGUGCCUAUGUAUGUGGGGGUGGGAAUCAAGGGGUGGUGGAGGUGAUUGAGGAAUAAACAGAUAUGAAUUGCUUAUUUAAGGCUUGAACCUGGUGUCAUGAGAGAAAUGGUGGUGGUCUCAAAAGGGGCCAUGGGGUGGGACCACAGAAGAGACACGGCCCCACCUGCAUGUUGACCAUACUCAGGGUGGUGAGGAAACCAGCGCUGUCCUGCAGCUGGAGGAACCUCAGUGGUCUUUGGGGAUGAGCCCUGAACCUCAAGUCAAGAAGUGUGAGUUCUAGUCCAGGUUUCAGCCACGGUGAGUGAGUCAUGCACGUGGGCCUAUAACCCCUCAUCAGUAAACCAGGGGCUGGUCUAGAUGACCCCAAGGCUCUCACAUUCAUUUCCGCACUCUUGGUCUCUGCUGGGCUUCUGGGACAUCGGUUAGUAUGGCCUUUUGUUAGGCACAUGCCAGGACUGGGGCUGUGCAGAUGAUGUGGAAGGGUUCCUGACUCCCUGUUCCCACUGAAGCCUGCUCUACAGAAGGAACCCCUUGGACGUUGCUGUCCUGGGCUUCAGCACUCAGAACUGCUUGCUCUUUGUGGCCAUCCCAGCUCUGUCACGUGAGCCCCUGUCCCCAGCUGAAUCACUAUGGUUAGGUGUAUAAGCUUUGACAACAGGUGGGGGAUGACCUGUAGUCCCCCUGACCCAAAGGAGACUGAAACGAAGCACCUCUUGGCCAGGCCACCACGGUGCCCCACAGCCACUUCACCAGCUGUCGCUUGUCAUGGCCAUGGGCCCAGACCUAGUUCUUCCUCAGUGAUGGGGGGUUGGGGCCCCUGCCUGCCCUCAGAGCCCUACCACCAGUGUUGGGCAUUGGGGCUAGGCUGGAGCUGGGCUCUGAGCCCAGAGCUGGUGGUGGUUUCCAGGCCUGUGGGAGGGUGACAGUGAGGCUGUGCUGCAGCUGUCACCUCCGGAGAGGGCGGUGCAUGGGAGGUGGAAAGCACUGGACCUGGACUGUGGCUCAGUUGAGGGACACAUGGCAUGGACUUUUACCACACAAGUUUAUUUAAAUAAAAGUGAACACAGAUGCAGGCUGGUGCCCGAGGGGCAGGGGGUGGGGAGGGCAGGUGGGAAGCAGACAGACAAUGGGGUCCAGGCAGAGUUUGUGUGGUGAACCAGGCUGCUGGAGGGAGCGGCUGGGGGCCUCAGGGCAGUGCUGGGAUUCAGUGCUGGGGCAGGGGGCCUUGGGUGGGUGAGCCUGGUGCCAGGAGGUCAUUUCCAUCCCUCACAUGCCCCCCUCCCUCUCCCUGACCCCCUGGGACUACAGCACUACCUCCUCAGCCCCCUCUGCCUCUCCUGACAUCAGCCUUCCCCUUAGUUACUGAGAAGCCAAAAGACAAAAUAAAUUAGAAUGGGUAAGUCCUA